AUUAAUUAUUGCUGACACCUUAGACUAUACUCACACAACUCACAAGAACUUUUUACUGGACAAUACUCGCUCAUAGACUUCCUAUGCGUGAGGCCCAAUUUUUAUCAUGAUACCUAAAUUGGAGAUCGCAUCUCCUGUAUAUAGGUGCUGAUCCACCGACCCAGUAACUCUCCUGAACACUCUAGUAUGUUCGUGUGGCAUUGCAUCUAGCUGUCAGAUUCCCGUUCCAAGCACACCUUUAGAAAUCAUGG
Molecule: long non-coding RNA, 251 nt
Filed under: Panax ginseng (ginseng)
Lineage: Eukaryota; Viridiplantae; Streptophyta; Magnoliopsida; Apiales; Araliaceae
Description: long non-coding RNA (PGIN_LNC019142)
Source: RNAcentral